Molecule: long non-coding RNA, 463 nt
Organism: Panicum virgatum (switchgrass)
Lineage: Eukaryota; Viridiplantae; Streptophyta; Magnoliopsida; Poales; Poaceae
Exons: 2
Source: RefSeq, a predicted model, not a curated record
GCCUCCAGCAGGGUCAGAAUGGUUGUCGCAGAAGGAUCGAUCCGAUCAUCCGUAUCCAUCUGUAUCCCUCCAGAGACAACAAAAAGGAGAUGAGGCAUUGGGAUUCAACAAGCAAUCCAGAUGUAUACCUCUAGAGCUCGUCUGUGUAUGCCCUUUGUACAACCGUUGUUCGGCAGCCUCAUCUCCAUGGUCAUGAAACCUGCAGUGGCAUCCUGAUUCAAAAGAAAAAAAAAGAAUUAUCUAUGCUGCACCAAUGAGUAUUUCCAACAUUCAAGAAACAACAGUGAUGGCAAUGAUAUGCAGCAUUGAUAAAGACAAGCUGAUAAUAUACUGGCAAUGCUGUAUAUCUCUGGGAAAUCAGUAGCAUUUGUGUCGAUGAACACAGGCUGGCUUUACUAGGCAAUUAAGCUCACCUCUGUAUCAGGCUUUGCCAGAAAAAUAAGCAGUGCAAAGUUUAGGAAAA